UGGGGAAUUUUGGACAAUGGGCGAAAGCCUGAUCCAGCAAUGCCGCGUGUGUGAAGAAGGCCUUCGGGUUGUAAAGCACUUUUGUCCGGAAAGAAAUCCUUGGCUCUAAUACAGUCGGGGGAUGACGGUACCGGAAGAAUAAGCACCGGCUAACUACGUGCCAGCAGCCGCGGUAAUACGUAGGGUGCAAGCGUUAAUCGGAAUUACUGGGCGUAAAGCGUGCGCAGGCGGUUUGCUAAGACCGAUGUGAAAUCCCCGGGCUCAACCUGGGAACUGCAUUGGUGACUGGCAGGCUAGAGUAUGGCAGAGGGGGGUAGAAUUCCACGUGUAGCAGUGAAAUGCGUAGAGAUGUGGAGGAAUACCGAUGGCGGGGGCAGCCCCCUGGGCCAAUACUGACGCUCAUGCACGAAAGCGUGGGGAGCAAACAGGAUUAGAUACCCUGGUAGUCCACGCCCUAAACGAUGUCAACUAGUUGUUGGGGAUUCAUUUCCUUAGUAACGUAGCUAACGCGUGAAGUUGACCGCCUGGGGAGUACGGUCGCAAGAUUAAAACUCAAAGGAAUUGACGGGGU
This 571-nucleotide ribosomal RNA is filed under the name uncultured bacterium. Its description in RNAcentral is "partial 16S ribosomal RNA". It matches the Rfam family "Bacterial small subunit ribosomal RNA", at positions 355 to 919 of the family's 1533-position model. The record is from RNAcentral.